RNAcentral lists this signal recognition particle RNA (87 nucleotides) under Spirochaetaceae bacterium. Its description in RNAcentral is "signal recognition particle sRNA small type". It matches the Rfam family "Bacterial small signal recognition particle RNA". From Rfam's summary of the family: The signal recognition particle (SRP) is a universally conserved ribonucleoprotein involved in the co-translational targeting of proteins to membranes. Archaeal SRP consists of a 7S RNA and homologues of the eukaryotic SRP19 and SRP54 proteins. The record is from RNAcentral. Lineage: Bacteria; Pseudomonadati; Spirochaetota; Spirochaetia; Spirochaetales; Spirochaetaceae.
GGAACCAUGCGGGCAGGCCCCGCCUAACCCCGCCAGGUCCGGAAGGAAGCAACGGUAAGCGAAGGUCUGUCGCGCCGUGGGGACGAA